CCCAUGACUCAGCUUUCAGGAGAUCCUGAGAACAUGUGCCCAAAGUGGUCAGGGGUGCAGCCUGGUUUUAUACAUCUUAGGGACAUGUGAGACAUCAAUGAAAUACAUUUAAGGUAUAUGUUGGAUUGCUGUAGACUUAGAGAAGGAAUUAUAGAUGCUUUUAUGCAUUUUGUUUAGCUCAGAGUUUCUUGAGAGUUAAGAGGGGAAGAAAAGAAAUAAAUGGAUUUUAGAAUGUAAGACUGACUUUGGAAGAGAAUCUAUAGUUGGAUAAUAAAACUAGGUGUUGAAAGGGAAGUAUUGAUCAGAG
This 307-nucleotide long non-coding RNA is filed under the name Homo sapiens (human). RNAcentral's name for it is "LHRI_LNC792.1". The record is from RNAcentral. Lineage: Eukaryota; Metazoa; Chordata; Mammalia; Primates; Hominidae.